CUCGGUAAAUUCCCCCUUAAAAUUCGGUUGGGUUCAACCGAACGGGCCGGCGGGGGAAUAUUGCCGAGCUAGGGGGCGGGAGAGGUUCGGGGGGUACUUCCCGGGGGUAGGGGUAAAAUCCUCUGAUCCCGGGAAGACCCACCCGGUGGCGAAGGCGCCCGGCCAGAACGCGCCCGACGGUGAGGGGCGAAAGUGGGGGAGCGAACCGGAUUAGAUACCCGGGUAGUCCCAGCUGUAAACGAUGCGGGCUAGGUGCUGGAGGGGCUACGGGCUCCUCCAGUGCCGCAGGGAAGCCGUUAAGCCCGCCGCCUGGGGAGUACGGCCGCAAGGCUGAAGCUUAAAGGAAUUGGCGGGGGGGCACACAAGGGGUGAAGCCUGCGGUUCAAUUGGAGUCAACGCCCGGAACCUUACCAGGGGUGACAGCAGGAUGAAGGUCAGGCUAAAGACCUUACCUGACGCGCUGAGAGGAGGUGCAUGGCCGUCGCCGGCUCGUGCCGUGAGGUGUCCUGUUAAGUCAGGAAACGAGCGAGACCCUCGCCGCCAGUUGCUAUUCCGUCCCCUCAAGGGACGGAAGGCUAACUGGCGGGACUGCCGCCGAAAAGGCGGAGGAAGGAGAGGGCUACGGCAGGUCAGUAUGCCCCGAAACCCCUGGGCCACACGCGGGCUGCUAUGGUGGGGACAAUGGGAGCCGAACCCGAAAGGGGGAGGUAAUCCCCAAACCCCACCCCAGUUAUGAUUGAGGGCUGCAACUCGCCCUCAUGAAUCUGGAAUCCCUAGUAACCGCGCGUCACCAUCGCGCGGUGAAUACGUCCCUGCCUCUU
This 821-nucleotide ribosomal RNA is filed under the name uncultured archaeon. RNAcentral's name for it is "bacterial SSU rRNA". It matches the Rfam family "Archaeal small subunit ribosomal RNA", at positions 529 to 1338 of the family's 1478-position model. The record is from RNAcentral.